RNAcentral lists this ribosomal RNA (145 nucleotides) under Nematopus lepidus. RNAcentral describes it as "partial small subunit ribosomal RNA". The record is from RNAcentral. Lineage: Eukaryota; Metazoa; Arthropoda; Insecta; Hemiptera; Coreidae.
AAUUAAUUUAAAUUAAAAUAAAGUUGAUUUUGCUUUUGUUUGUGAAUUGGUUGUUAAUAUAAUAGUUUUAUAUGCUAGUAUUUUGCGUGUUAAUAUAAUUUUCUUAAAGGGAAUUAAUUUUUUUUAUUUGUAGUUUAUAAUUUUG